RNAcentral lists this ribosomal RNA (472 nucleotides) under uncultured organism. Its description in RNAcentral is "partial 16S ribosomal RNA". It matches the Rfam family "Bacterial small subunit ribosomal RNA", at positions 335 to 798 of the family's 1533-position model. The record is from RNAcentral.
ACUCCUACGGGAGGCAGCAGUGGGGAAUUUUGGACAAUGGGCGAAAGCCUGAUCCAGCAAUGCCGCGUGAGUGAAGAAGGCCUUCGGGUUGUAAAGCUCUUUUGUCAGGGAAGAAACGGUGAGAGCUAAUAUCUCUUGCUAAUGACGGUACCUGAAGAAUAAGCACCGGCUAACUACGUGCCAGCAGCCGCGGUAAUACGUAGGGUGCAAGCGUUAAUCGGAAUUACUGGGCGUAAAGCGUGCGCAGGCGGUUUUGUAAGUCUGAUGUGAAAUCCCCGGGCUCAACCUGGGAAUUGCAUUGGAGACUGCAAGGCUAGAAUCUGGCAGAGGGGGGUAGAAUUCCACGUGUAGCAGUGAAAUGCGUAGAUAUGUGGAGGAACACCGAUGGCGAAGGCAGCCCCCUGGGUCAAGAUUGACGCUCAUGCACGAAAGCGUGGGGAGCAAACAGGAUUAGAUACCCUUGUAGUCCCAU